CUACUACUCCCUCCGUUCGGAAAUACUCGUCGAAGGAAUGGAUGUAUCUAGAUAUGUUUUAGUUCUAGAUACAUCCAAUUUUUAGGCAUUUCUUCGACAAGUAUUUCCGGACGAAGGGAGUACUAU
This is a non-coding RNA of Triticum aestivum (bread wheat), 126 nucleotides long. The record is from Rfam. Lineage: Eukaryota; Viridiplantae; Streptophyta; Magnoliopsida; Poales; Poaceae.